CCUAUUCCCUAUAUAGUGGCACCCUAUGCCCUAUAUAGUGGCACCCUGUUCCUUAUUUUCCCACAUUCUCUAUUCCCCUAUAAUGCCAAUAGGGUCCCAUUUGGGACGCACAGUUUGACUGGUUAAAUAUGGACGGUUUCCUUUAGUUGGUAAUUUAGGCGUCAGGGAUGCCCAUUUUCACCUUCUAACUCUGUUCUUCAAAGGGGUGAGUGUUGUGGAUGUUUAUUUAUAUAUAUAUAUAUAUAUAUAUAUGCCAUUUCUGCUGGUUAUAUGUUUUUCUUUACAGAUGCUAUUGUUGUUAAUGAAUCCAAUGCUAUAAGCUUUUUCACACUGCAGUGAUCUUAGCCCCAGGCUAAGACUGACCCUGGACCAGUUUAUCCUGUCUUCACGGUUCACACAAGCUUUUAGUGAUGACUUGUUUAAACCUCGCUGUCCGCCUGCCUGGGGGGGAAUAAACUGUUUCUCUUUUGAAAUGCGAUCUCGCGCCCUGUACAGAGAAUUCUGUGCAAGAGACGAGACAUCAACGUUUCUGAUCCAGGCGAAAUCAUGCAACAAUAUUUUAUUGUCAUGGGAUAGCCAUAAUCCAAGUACAUGUCUAAUGUGAAAACAGAGGAAAGAGCUUGAUGCCCUUCCAGCUGUAGAGUUUGUGGCUUCGGUUGGCUAGCUCAGUGAGAAGAAGUUAGCCAGCCGGCAGAGCAACCAAUUUUAUGAUUUAUUUGUAUUAUUAUUUUUAUUAGCCAUAGAAACCAAAUGUUUUUGCAUAGAUGAACGUAUUGUUUUUAUUUAUUUUUAGUUUUCGUCCUCUGAUAGAUGAAAUAGUAUAAAUGUAUUUAUUAAAACGGCAGAACGCAUCACAAGCGUAUGUAAGUUAAGUGAAUGUGCAGCUUUUGUGAUUGGACAGUAAAGAUUCUAUGCGUUGUUCUAAAAUCUCCCAUAGCCCAGGCCUGACGAGGCUCUUAGCCCUGGGCUAAGGUUGGUGUGAAUAUUUGCUUAGGCCUGGGCUAAAAAUCUCCCAUAGCCCAGGCCUGACGAGGCUCUUAGCCCUGGGCUAAGGUUGGUGUGAAUAUUCGCUUAGGCCUGGGCUAAAAUCUCCCAUAGCCCAGGCCUGACGAGGCUCUUAGCCCUGGGCUAAGGUUGGUGUGAAUAUUUGCUUAGGCCUGGGCUAAAAUCUCCCAUAGCCCAGGCCUGACGAGGCUCUUAGCCCUGGGCUAAGGUUGGUGUGAAUAUUUGCUUAGCCCUGGGCUAAAAUCUCCCAUAGCCCAGGCCUGACGAGGCUCUUAGCCCCGAGUUAAGGUGCAGUGUGAAUGCAUCUUUUCUAUGUGAAAGUUGGAACAAGUGUGUGUUCUUUCAAUCACAAAAUCUCCUUUUGUCAUUAAAGAUUUUUUUUUUCUCUCAACUAUCUCAGUCAUUGUUUCUCCUCUUUUUUGCCUUGUUCUGUCUGUUUCUAUAUAUUGUUAUUCUGCCUCCUCACUGAUACAAUAUUUUUUUAAAGUAUUUAAAAAAAGGCUCUUCCUAAGUUUCCUGUACGUUUCUAGCUAUGACAUGACAAGAAGUGUUAUAAGGCAGUAUUAGUAAAGCCACAUUACUACCGGAGGUGUUUUAUAAGGCUUUGUUUAUAACGUGUGUUCAGUACAAAAUAUAAUCCAAC
Long non-coding RNA from Oncorhynchus tshawytscha (Chinook salmon), 1648 nucleotides. Lineage: Eukaryota; Metazoa; Chordata; Actinopteri; Salmoniformes; Salmonidae. The record is from Ensembl.